Non-coding RNA from Oncorhynchus mykiss (rainbow trout), 1294 nucleotides. The record is from RefSeq and is a predicted model, not a curated record. NCBI's taxonomy places the organism in Eukaryota, Metazoa, Chordata, Actinopteri, Salmoniformes, Salmonidae.
UAAGGCUGGUGGACCAGACUGACAGAGUAUUACUCAGACCAGAUGUUACCAGAUCAUAAGACUGGUGGACCAGAUUGACAGAGUAUUACUCAGACCAGAUGUUACCAGAUCAUAAGGCUGGUGGACCAGACUGACAGAGUAUUACUCAGACCAGAUGUUACCGGUUAAUAAGGCUGGUGGACCAGACUGACAGAGUAUUACUCAGACCAGAUGUUACCAGGUAAUAAGGCUGGUGGACCAGACUGACAGAGUAUUACUCAGACCAGAUGUUACCAGGUAAUAAGGCUGGUGGACCAGAUUGACAGAGUAUUACUCAGACCAGAUGUUACCAGGUAAUAAGGCUGGUGGACCAGAUUGACAGAGUAUUACUCAGACCAGAUGUUACCAGGUAAUAAGGCUGGUGGACCAGACUGACAGAGUAUUACUCAGACCAGAUGUUACCAGGUAAUAAGGCUGGUGGACCAGAUUGACAGAGUAUUACUCAGACCAGAUGUUACCAGAUAAUAAGGCUGGUGGACCAGACUGACAGAGUAUUACUCAGACCAGAUGUUACCAGAUCAUAAGGCUGGUGGACCAGAUUGACAGAGUAUUACUCUAAUAAUGUCUGUCUCUGUCAGACCAAUGCAGUUAGUAUUAACAUAUCAAAUACCUACAAAACGCUGUGAAAAUCAUUUAAAACAGACAUUUAUAUAGACAUUGGUUGUGAUUAUUCAAACGCUGUUAUUUGCGACGUGUAUAAUACGGUAUCGUCGUACAACUUCAUUUCCCUCCAAUACUUGUGUGUCACUAAAAUGACUCCGUUUGCCAGUGUUUUAUCAGCAUCAUUGUGUCAGGUUGGAAGAAUGCAUCACCCAUUCUAUCUGAUCAACAGGAAAUGAACACACAUGGUAUAAUGCCGUGAGUGAAGGGAAGGGGAUUGCUUUGCUCUGCUCACAGACUGAAUGUAAAUGUCCUCCCAGAACUAAGAGAGAAAAGAGAAAUGUUGUCUUAUCACCUGCGACUGUAUUUAUUACCUUUACCUCAGCCAGCAGACAGAGAAAUUAGAAAACGAUUAUUUAGUGACUAAAAAUGUAGGAAAAAUUAUAUGUGGUAAUGUAACAGAAAAGUUAAAGCAAACAUCAAUCUAAACACUUGGAAUAAGACAGCUAAUCAACUAACUAAUUUUACCUGGCUUCUUCUAAUAUAAUACUGAUAUACAGGGUGGUAGUGGAGGUCUAAUAUAACACUGAUAUACAGGGUGGAGGUCUAAUGUAAUACUGAUAUACAGGGUGGUAGUGGAGGUCUAAUGUAAUAC